CUUGCAGAUUGUGAACCAGAUGAACACCAGAGCCAUACUACUGUCGUCACAUCUAGAGAUAUUUAAGUUCUUCGUUCAAGGUGGAUUUCCAACAUAGCAUAGCUAUUUGCCUAGUGCUUUAAAAGCUGGUGAAUUGAUGGAGGCUUCCUCUUUACAGGCAUUAUAAUAGUGAAUUCAUUAAACCAUUUUUAAGUUUUGUCCUUAGCCUUGAUGUUAUUCAUCUAAGUUUACUUGAACUGAGAUAUUUUGCUUAUAAUUUGUAGUAAUAUUGUGUUGUAAUAAUUAAUAUUAUGCAUUUUGUCUCUCUAGCUGUUUUUUCCCUUGUAUUUUAUAUUUUGAAGUUACUUUUUGUAUACUAAUGAUUUUAUGACAUAGCUUAAGCUAGAUCAGAGAGAAAUAUGAAUGAAUUAUGUGGAUAUCUAUCUGAAUGGAAUAUCCCAUAUAUUGUCAUGGUAAUGCAUCUCCAUUGUUCAACUAGAUUUUUUCCAUCAAUAUUUCUCACCAUCCCUUGUUUCUUAUAAACAUCAAUAUCAUCAAAAUUAGAACAAUAAGUUGUAUAUAUAUUGUUGUUGUUGCUGUAGGAUGCUGACCACAUGGUUGUUGACCACAAUAUCAGUGAUGUUAUUAAUCCACGAUGUUGUUGUUGUCUGUCUCCCCAAGAUAAACUAAAACAACUAGUUCUUGCUUUAGGAUUCAGAAACAUCAGAGGGUUUGCGAUGAAUUCAAGGCUAACAAUGAAUUAUUGGUCGACACUUUGUUUUACGCCCUUUUGCAAGCACAUUAAGGAGCAGCUAAAUUAGAGAUAGGUUGCAAUUUUUUUGUAAAGAAAUGAGCAUAUUUGUUCCACUACAACUAGUCACGAAUAAAGUGUAACUUUGAAAUAUAGCGGUUGUAUUUCUCAUUACUAUGAGAUAAUUUAAUUGUACAUAUACUAUAAUAUAUUUAUA
Long non-coding RNA from Chenopodium quinoa (quinoa), 947 nucleotides. RefSeq lists it as uncharacterized. Lineage: Eukaryota; Viridiplantae; Streptophyta; Magnoliopsida; Caryophyllales; Amaranthaceae. The record is from RefSeq and is a predicted model, not a curated record. The transcript has 3 exons.